Long non-coding RNA from Phasianus colchicus (ring-necked pheasant), 811 nucleotides. RefSeq lists it as uncharacterized. Lineage: Eukaryota; Metazoa; Chordata; Aves; Galliformes; Phasianidae. The record is from RefSeq and is a predicted model, not a curated record.
CCACUUGGACCAGCAGGACCAGGAAGUCCUACAGGACCUUGUACUCCAUCACGUCCAGCUGGACCUUGAGGACCUUUUUCACCCUGGUUUUGAAGAAAAGGAAGUGAUGCACGUUAUCACAGGAGUUUAAUUAAGCUUUCAGUGCAGGAGCACCCUUCUCCCCUGCAGGGCCUGGAGGACCUUGAGGUCCAGGACGACCUGGUAGACCAAUUGGACCAGCAGUGCCUGCUGCUCCACGUUCUCCUGCACCUGGGAGGCCUUGUUCACCUGGUGGGCCAGGAGGACCUGGAUGACCUCUUUCACCAAUUGGGCCAGUCUCACCAGUAGGACCCUAAGCACAAAGGUAAACUCCAGUCAAAAGGUUUUGAAUGUCUAGAGGGGGCAGAUUCUCAAUAUCCAGCUGUUCUGAGUGAGUUACAGAACAAUACUGGUUAGCAUACAUUCCUCACCUUCCCCUCCAGGCAAAACUGACUUACAAAAUAUUUUUGUCCUAUAAAAUAAAUCUUGCAUUGCCUUUUGCCUGUGGACAUGCCUGAACAGUUUCCACAGAUUGAAAUCUUGACCUUGCUCCUUAGGCGAUGAAGCUUAAAACACAAUGCAUUUCCACACAUGGGAGGAGGUUACAAAAGUGUAUGUAUGGUAAAUUCAUGUACUGUGCUUGUCCUGAAACACUGCCUGUACUGUUUCUCUAUAUAACAUGAAUUGUAAGGUGAGAGAGUUGAAAGAUUCCUCUCUAGAUGCACGAGUAGAACACUUUCACUAAAGAAAUUAUCUAUAAAAAAUUCAGGCAAUCCAAAUGUCUGUUUUUUCU